RNAcentral lists this ribosomal RNA (422 nucleotides) under uncultured fungus. RNAcentral's name for it is "eukaryotic LSU rRNA". The stretch from base 62 to 215 matches the Rfam family "5.8S ribosomal RNA". Lineage: Eukaryota; Fungi. The record is from RNAcentral.
CGGAGGAUACAUCAAAACUCCNGUUUUAACGGUGUUGUCUGAGCCACAAGCAACGAAUUAAAACUUUCAACAACGGAUCUCUUGGUUCUGGCAUCGAUGAANAACGCAGCGAAAUGCGAUAAGUAGUGUGAAUUGCAGAAUUCAGUGAAUCAUCGAAUCUUUGAACGCACAUUGCGCCCCUUGGUAUCCCGAGGGGCAUGCCUGUUCGAGCGUCAUUUCACCAUUCAAGCCUGGCUUGGUAUUGGGCGACGUCCCCUUUGGGGACGCGCUUCGAAACGCUCGGCGGCGUGGCACCGGCUUUAAGCGUAGCAGAAUCUUUCGCUUUAAAAAUCGGGGCCCCGUCUGCCGGAAGACCUACUCAAGGUUGACCUCGGAUCAGGUAGGGAUACCCGCUGAACUUAAGCAUAUCAAUAAGCGGAGGA